RNAcentral lists this ribosomal RNA (546 nucleotides) under uncultured Rhizophagus. RNAcentral's name for it is "SSU rRNA". It matches the Rfam family "Eukaryotic small subunit ribosomal RNA", at positions 548 to 1098 of the family's 1831-position model. The record is from RNAcentral. Lineage: Eukaryota; Fungi; Glomeromycota; Glomeromycetes; Glomerales; Glomeraceae.
UUGGAGGGCAAGUCUGGUGCCAGCAGCCGCGGUAAUUCCAGCUCCAAUAGCGUAUAUUAAAGUUGUUGCAGUUAAAAAGCUCGUAGUUGAAUUUCGGGGUCAGUAGGUCGGUCGUGCCACUGGUAUGAACUGGUUUUACUGAUUCCUCCCUCUUGAAGAACUGUAAUGCCAUUAAUUUGGUGUUGCAGGGAAUCAGGACUGUUACUUUGGAAAAAUUAGAGUGUUUAAAGCAGGCUUUAGCUUGAAUACAUUAGCAUGGAAUAAUGAAAUAGGACGUUUGAUCCUAUUUUGUUGGUUUCUAGGAUUGACGUAAUGAUUAAUAGGGAUAGUUGGGGGCAUUAGUAUUCAAUUGUCAGAGGUGAAAUUCUUGGAUUUAUUGAAGACUAACUAUUGCGAAAGCAUUUGCCAAGGAUGUUUUCAUUAAUCAAGAACGAAAGUUAGGGGAUCGAAGACGAUCAGAUACCGUCGUAGUCUUAACCAUAAACUAUGCCGACUAGGAAUCGGGCGUCGUUAUUUUAAUGACUCGCUCGGCGCCUUACGGGAAAC